UGAAUUGGGGAAAUAACUUGUUUAUUGAUUUUUCCAAUAAAUUGUAAUGAUAACAUUCUUAUAUAUUUUGAACACGUACUGAUAUUGUAUACACAUACAUAUGAAUUUGAGCUUUAAUUUCCCAUAAUUUUGUAAACUAUCACAAUAAAUAUAGAAAUCCUCAAAACAAUAAUUAUAAUCAGAGGAGAAUGUACUUUAUUCAGUUUCAAAUUGAACUCUGGCUUUUGUUGUUAUCUUAUACUGUUAAUGUUUAAUUUUUUUUGAAUAAUUAUAAAGCAUUAACAACGGUAGUGUUGUAAGUGAAUAAAUUUGUUAAACCUAGAAGGUAUGUCGAAUAAUUCAAUCUCGGGAGCAAACAUGCCAAGCAUCGGAAACAUCAAUCAAGGAUCAAUUCAAUAUGUUAAUAACCCUUUGCAAAGCCCUCAAUUACAGUCCACAUCAUCACAAGGUUCACCUGUACAGCAUAAUCCUGUAAGCCAAUCACAAGUUUCUAAUAAAAAUAACCAAAGUGGUGAUCAAGGGUCACAGCCUCUAACCAGGCCAAGGUUGCAAGAGUUAGUCCGAGAAGUUGACCCAACAGUACAACUAGAUGAGGAGGUUGAAGAAGUUUUGCUGGAAUUAGCUGAUAACUUUUUGGAUGUUGCAGUAAAUGCAUCUUGCUGUCUUGCUAAACACAGACAUGUGUCUACUGAGGAGUUAAAGGAUGUUCAACUACAUUUAGGACUAUGCUGUACAGGUGAACCUUGUGAUGAUGUGGACUGCAAUUGAGGGCUUUGCAAAGGGUUAUUAACAUAUUGAUUUGAUCCUUGAUUGAUGUUUCCGAUGCUUGGCAUGUUUGCUCCCGAGAUUGAAUUAUUCAACAUACCUUCUAUGUUUAACAAAUUUAUUCACUUACAACACUACCAUUGUUAAUGUGUUAUAAUUAUUCCAAAAAUUAAACAUUAACAGUAUAAGAUAACAACAAAAGCCAGAGUUCAAUUUGAAACUGAAUAAAGUAAAUUCUCCUUUGAUUAUAAUUAUUGUUUUGAGGAUUUCUAUAUUUAUUGUGAUAGUUUACAAAUUCAUGGAAAAUUAUAGCUCAAAUUCAUAUGUAUGUGUAUACAAUAUCAGUAUGUGUUCAAAAUAUAUAAGAACAUGUUAUCAUUACAAUUUAUUGGAAAAAUCAAUAAACAAAUUAUUAUUAA
Molecule: long non-coding RNA, 1184 nt
Organism: Leptidea sinapis
Lineage: Eukaryota; Metazoa; Arthropoda; Insecta; Lepidoptera; Pieridae
Exons: 3
Source: RefSeq, a predicted model, not a curated record